RNAcentral lists this ribosomal RNA (524 nucleotides) under uncultured bacterium. RNAcentral's name for it is "partial 16S ribosomal RNA". It matches the Rfam family "Bacterial small subunit ribosomal RNA", at positions 28 to 523 of the family's 1533-position model. The record is from RNAcentral.
GACGAACGCUGGCGGCGUGCUUAACACAUGCAAGUCGAACGAGACGAUUGAAAGCUUGCUUUUGAAAGUCGAGUGGCAAACGGGUGAGUAACGCGUAGACAACCUGCCUUUGAGAUGGGGACAACAGUUCGAAAGGACUGCUAAUACCGAAUGUUGUAUAUUUUCCACAUGGAAGAUAUAUUAAAGAUGGCCUCUAUUUAUAAGCUAUCGCUCAAAGAUGGGUCUGCGUCUGAUUAGCUGGUUGGUGGGGUAACGGCCUACCAAGGCGACGAUCAGUAGCCGGUCUGAGAGGAUGAACGGCCACAUUGGGACUGAGACACGGCCCAGACUCCUACGGGAGGCAGCAGUGGGGAAUCUUCCACAAUGGACGAAAGUCUGAUGGAGCAACGCCGCGUGAGUGAAGAAGGGUUUCGGCUCGUAAAGCUCUGUUGUCGGGGACGAAUGUGCAGUAUUUGAAUAAAGUACUGCAAUGACGGUACCUGACGAGGAAGCCACGGCUAACUACGUGCCAGCAGCCGCGGUAA